This 21-nucleotide unclassified non-coding RNA is filed under the name Mus musculus (house mouse). RNAcentral's name for it is "oocyte_clustered_small_RNA5708". The record is from RNAcentral. Lineage: Eukaryota; Metazoa; Chordata; Mammalia; Rodentia; Muridae.
AAUCUCAGAGCCAGGCGCAGG